AUUGAACGCUGGCGGCAGGCCUAACACAUGCAAGUCGAACGGUAACAGGAAGCAGCUUGCUGCUUCGCUGACGAGUGGCGGACGGGUGAGUAAUGUCUGGGAAACUGCCUGAUGGAGGGGGAUAACUACUGGAAACGGUAGCUAAUACCGCAUAACGUCGCAAGACCAAAGAGGGGGACCUUCGGGCCUCUUGCCAUCAGAUGUGCCCAGAUGGGAUUAGCUUGUUGGUGGGGUAACGGCUCACCAAGGCGACGAUCCCUAGCUGGUCUGAGAGGAUGACCAGCCACACUGGAACUGAGACACGGUCCAGACUCCUACGGGAGGCAGCAGUGGGGAAUAUUGCACAAUGGGCGCAAGCCUGAUGCAGCCAUGCCGCGUGUAUGAAGAAGGCCUUCGGGUUGUAAAGUACUUUCAGCGGGGAGGAAGGUGCUGUGGUUAAUAACCGCAGCAAUUGACGUUACCCGCAGAAGAAGCACCGGCUAACUCCGUGCCAGCAGCCGCGGUAAUACGGAGGGUGCAAGCGUUAAUCGGAAUUACUGGGCGUAAAGCGCACGCAGGCGGUCUGUUAAGUCAGAUGUGAAAUCCCCGGGCUCAACCUGGGAACUGCAUCUGAUACUGGCAGGCUUGAGUCUCGUAGAGGGGGGUAGAAUUCCAGGUGUAGCGGUGAAAUGCGUAGAGAUCUGGAGGAAUACCGGUGGCGAAGGCGGCCCCCUGGACGAAGACUGACGCUCAGGUGCGAAAGCGUGGGGAGCAAACAGG
This 759-nucleotide ribosomal RNA is filed under the name uncultured Enterobacteriaceae bacterium. RNAcentral's name for it is "bacterial SSU rRNA". It matches the Rfam family "Bacterial small subunit ribosomal RNA", at positions 28 to 776 of the family's 1533-position model. The record is from RNAcentral. Lineage: Bacteria; Pseudomonadati; Pseudomonadota; Gammaproteobacteria; Enterobacterales; Enterobacteriaceae.